UAUAAAUUAUGUUACAUGUAGGACAUCCACCUAAUAAACUAUUAAUUUAAAUAGUAAUGUUUGAAAAGUAUUUUAUUGACAUUAUUUUAAAUAAAUUCAUAAUUCUAAAAAUAGCAAUAACUUUUUGAGAACAUCAGAUUUAUGUACACACAUAGGACACAUACCUUUUUGUUUACUUAAAGGAAAAUGAACGAGUCUAAAGCUUCCACAUGUUAUAUGAGCAAAACAUGGAUUUUUCUAAAUUAGAUUCGUUUAAAUCGGAACAUAUUAAUGUGAGUUUCUUAAAUUAGAUUUUUAAUAUGUAUAUAUACGUAAGAAUACUUCUUAUGUUUUAAAAAAAAAUAGAAUACUUCAUCUCUUUCCUAAAUUUUUAAGCCAAUAUCAAUCCAUUUCUAUAAUUCAAGAUGAAGAAAUCCCUUAAACUCUCGUUUACGUUCUUAAUUAUCUCCAUCAUUCUCUCACAAGGAAUGAUGGCAGAAGCGCAGAAAAAGAAUUGUCCUCAUAAAAUUCCAAUAAAAGGAAGCUAUUGUGCUCCAACUAUAUGUUUGGAUAAGUGUAAGAAGCAAGAUGGAACUGUUGGUAGU
This is a long non-coding RNA of Brassica napus (rape), 584 nucleotides long. RefSeq lists it as uncharacterized. The record is from RefSeq and is a predicted model, not a curated record. NCBI's taxonomy places the organism in Eukaryota, Viridiplantae, Streptophyta, Magnoliopsida, Brassicales, Brassicaceae. The transcript is spliced from 2 exons.